RNAcentral lists this ribosomal RNA (396 nucleotides) under Prevotella sp. oral taxon 376. RNAcentral's name for it is "bacterial SSU rRNA". It matches the Rfam family "Bacterial small subunit ribosomal RNA", at positions 28 to 428 of the family's 1533-position model. Lineage: Bacteria; Pseudomonadati; Bacteroidota; Bacteroidia; Bacteroidales; Prevotellaceae. The record is from RNAcentral.
GAUGAACGCUAGCUACAGGCUUAACACAUGCAAGUCGAGGGGCAUCAUGUCGGUUGCUUGCAACCGAUGAUGGCGACCGGCGAAUGGGUGAGUAACGCGUAUCCAACCUGCCCCCGGCCGGGGUAUAACCCGUCGAAAGGCGGCCUAAUCCCCCAUGCAGUCCUCUGAGGUCCUCCGAUGAGGAUGAAAGGUAUUUUUCCGGCCGGUCGAUGGGGAUGCGUCCGAUUAGCUUGCUGGCGGGGUAACGGCCCACCAGGGCUUCGAUCGGUAGGGGUUUGGCUGGUACUGAGACACGGACCAGACUCCUACGGGAGGCAGCAGUGAGGAAUAUUGGUCAAUGGGCGGAAGCCUGAACCAGCCAAGUAGCGUGCAGGAUGACGGCCCUAUGGGUUGUAA